RNAcentral lists this unclassified non-coding RNA (24 nucleotides) under Mus musculus (house mouse). RNAcentral's name for it is "oocyte_clustered_small_RNA12406". Lineage: Eukaryota; Metazoa; Chordata; Mammalia; Rodentia; Muridae. The record is from RNAcentral.
UAACAGAGAAGACCUGGCAUGCAG